GAUGAACGCUGGCGGCGUGCUUAACACAUGCAAGUCGAACGAUGAAGCCCAGCUUGCUGGGUGGAUUAGUGGCGAACGGGUGAGUAACACGUGAGUAACCUGCCCUUGACUCUGGGAUAAGCCUGGGAAACUGGGUCUAAUACUGGAUAUGACUUCUCAUCGCAUGGUGGGGGGUGGAAAGAUUUAUUGGUCUUGGAUGGACUCGCGGCCUAUCAGCUUGUUGGUGAGGUAAUGGCUCACCAAGGCGACGACGGGUAGCCGGCCUGAGAGGGUGACCGGCCACACUGGGACUGAGACACGGCCCAGACUCCUACGGGAGGCAGCAGUGGGGAAUAUUGCACAAUGGGCGCAAGCCUGAUGCAGCGACGCCGCGUGAGGGACGACGGCCUUCGGGUUGUAAACCUCUUUCAGUAGGGAAGAAGCGAGAGUGACGGUACCUGCAGAAGAAGCGCCGGCUAACUACGUG
RNAcentral lists this ribosomal RNA (466 nucleotides) under uncultured bacterium. Its description in RNAcentral is "partial 16S ribosomal RNA". It matches the Rfam family "Bacterial small subunit ribosomal RNA", at positions 28 to 507 of the family's 1533-position model. The record is from RNAcentral.